This is a long non-coding RNA of Drosophila sechellia, 3941 nucleotides long. RefSeq lists it as uncharacterized. The transcript has 2 exons. Lineage: Eukaryota; Metazoa; Arthropoda; Insecta; Diptera; Drosophilidae. The record is from RefSeq and is a predicted model, not a curated record.
AAAAGGAAAACGAGAUGCGAAACGAAGGGCAACAAUAACAAAACUAAAUUACAUAUGCACACAUAACUUGUCAAUGGGUUCACUGAGAGAAAAUCCUGGUCGUACCUCAAAUUUGUGCUUAUAUAAUCACACACUGCCAAGAAAGCCUUGUCUUUCAAUCAUUUAUGCCUCGUAUUCCAUUGAGCUGACACCAAGCACUUGGCUUGGCUUGUAUAUUUGUGUAUUUCAUAUUCUGAAUGCAAUAUCGCCAGAUAAGACCCCAAAAAAAGUUGGCUUCCCUUCAUACAAUUAUUUGAGCGCAGACCCCUGUUUUCUCGCAGUGUAUGUGUGGAUCUUCGUGAGUGUAGUCGUUAUGCGAAAUGACAAGAACAAGCCGAGGGACAACAACAAUGGCAAACACAUUUUCUGAUUAGUUUGCAGAGGUCACAUUAGUCCCUAGUCGCUUAGAAACGCUGACAAGCGGCAAAAAUCUGUAUAAACGGCCUGUGUAAACGGUAGAGAGAGACGGCAAGGGUCAAGCGGUUAGAGAGAAAGGGAAAAAGAGAGGGAAGCUCUAUAGCGCGCUGUCGAAAGUGUGGAAAACUUUCAAGGCGCAAGCCACACAGACACUCGCUUAUGUUCAUGUAUGUAUAUGCAUGUAUAAUGUUCAGAGCGUAUUAUCGAAACUUGAAGUUUUGCAUUACUAAUCAACCUCGCCUCACGAUUGGCACACUCCUCUAAUUAGCUUUCAAAUCGAAUUUAAAUUAUUCAAGAGACUCCAAAAGCCCGAAACGAGGAAUAAAACCUUCAUUUUCCAAUAGGCAAAUGACGUCAAAGGAAUAAACAGUCUGCCGCUCCGCAACCCAAUUCAAUGAGCGGAGUGCACUUUCAAGUGGCAAUAUUAUUGUAGCUAUUCGCAUGAGGAUGUCAUAAUAAUUAAAGUAAUUUGAUGACGUUAUUACAAAGCAAUUGUGCAGCAAUGCCGUCUUAUUGGCUCUUUGUUCGAAGGUAUUUUUGAGUUUAAUCAAGCUAAUUCAAUACGACAAGGAACGCUGCAUCCGAAAGCCUCGACUAUCAAAUAUAAGAUACCAAUUUUAAAAUAAAUUACAUUUCACAUACUCUCCAUUUGCAAUGCCUUUAUGCGCCAUUCUAUGCCAUUAAAUCCGCAUUUAACUCACACCUUUGGAACAUUUAUCGGAUUUCAAAGUAUUGUAGUAUCUUUUGCCCGAUUCGUUGUGCCUGGUAUGAACUCUUUGAUUAUCACUGUGACAAAUAAAUAAUUAAAACCUUAGUAGCUGCAUUGAGGUACAUGUGUACAUACAUACAUGCUUCUCGUAUAGUCAAGAUUGCUCACCAUCUCGUUAGAGUUUUUUAAAUAUGGUUAGUGUUUUUUUUAACCUUUUUUUGACUACUUCUAUCGAUUUUUUUUCAUGAAGCAUUAAGCGUUCUUUGUCAGUAGCACAUUAACGGGCUACUCCUCAUCCGGCAAACUCGAAAAAUUAGCUUAGCAUUUCACGUUUGGGCAUUUCGCCGAUUUUUUCCAGCCAGAAUGAGUGGCGUUCUUUCGGCCAAAGGUCUCUUAUUAGCCUAUCGUUUGUGGCCGGACGCUGGGAAAAUUUGUUUUUAAUUUUUCACACUUUUCUUCUUGUAUUUUCACACACAUUCCACCCACCUUUUACUUUGUCACAGCUCUUCUGCCACGCCUACCGCAUAUUAAUGAGCCGCUCUUGAAUUAGUUGCCAAGCGAGAUUCGCUGUCGUUUUUUUUUUCACCUCGCACAGCUUUUCCUGGAAUCCAGUGAGUUGAGCAACAAGCGAGAAUGUGCGGAAAAUGACUGGGGGAAGGCGGCUUUAGGCAACUUUCAUUCCUUUCGCUACCCGAAGACACUUGUGGUCCUCUACUUUUUACCUCUGGCAGCCGCACCCAGCGCAUUUGUCGUUUAUUUGCCCUCGGAUUUUUGGGAUUUACCCGUUUAAAUAUUGCUUACUGGUUGGCAAACGCUUAAAUGGAAUGGGGGAAUGCUGGCAGAAGAAUUAUACUCUCGACCAUCUUAUAGGGUAUUUAAUUUUCAUACUUUUCAGGUAUUCGAAGGUGGAAAAUGAUUAGUAAGUGGAAUGCUUUGUGCGGUGCUAAGAAAUCGAUAUCCUGCUGCUCAGCGAGACUCAUUACAAGGAGACAAAAUAUAUGGAUUUGAGGCCACUCUGUCAACGACCCGAGCGAGCCACUGACAAAGUGCAACUCGCGUUUGCAGCCACCGAGAUGGCGUGUCAUGGACCUGUCCAUUUUGGUGCGAUAUACUGGCCUCCGAGAUCCAUAUGGAAUUCGGACGAAUCCAAAGGCGUUCUGGAGCAACAAUGUUUCAAAAUCCUCGUCGCGAGCUACUGGAAUGCAUCCUGGCUAUAGGGAGCGGGGAGAUGCAACCGAAGAGGGCGUGCACUAGCGAAUCUGGUCCCAAGCUCUGAUAUGAUCCUACAAGAUUCUCGUAUAACUGUAAAGACUCCCCAGACUAUAUCGAUUAUGGGAUGUACAUGCUGAGAUACGGUCGGCUGCUGAGCUCAGCUCCUACCAUCUACCGCUUUUAAUCACCCUUGAUGCAAUAGCUAAAGGUUAACCCAAAAUUGAGCGGCUAAUCGGUAGGCACACUGACAUGGAAUGAUUCCAUGGGUAUCUAUAAUACUUCCCUCCAUACUGGAAGCUCGGCUUCAUCUCAACCUGGCAAGCCUGAACAGAACCAUGGGUCCUACCGGCCAAUCAAUCUCCUCCCUUCUAUCACGAAGGUGUUUGAGAAACUAAUUGCCACCCGGAUGGUCAGGGUUAUGGAAGCCAAGGGUAUCCUACCCGAGCUCCAGUUUGGUUUUCGUGCUGGACGCUGUACGGUAGAACAACCUCAUCGAGUGGUCGAGCAAAUUCUAUCGGCAUUUGAAAACAAGGAGUACUGCAACGCACUCUUCCUGGAUGUACGAGAGACCUUUGAUAGGGUGUGGCACUCCGGUCUCCUGCUAAAAUUAAAGCAUACGCUGCCUGCGCCUCACUUCGUCCUCCUGAGGUCGUACCUCGAAAAGAGAAGGCUUGCGGUCCUAUUCCAAUAGGCUCUCUCAUAUGAGCAGAUUGCGGCAGUGUAGUUGGUCCUCUGCUUUACUGUUUGUACAGUUACGUCAUGCCGCGGCCAGACUCUAGCCUACCCUGGACGGCAAUGUUGGCCUCACUUGCAGUUGACGUGUGUGUCACCUAAAUGUCCCGCUGCGAACACGAUGCUGCUGAUGGCAUCCAGGAAUUUGCAACAACAUUUGAAUGGGCAAGGCGCUGGAACAUUGGAAUCAAUGGUGACAAAUCAGCGGAUUUGUACUACAGGCUUAAACGGAGAACACCACCGGCUGUGCACACUGAUGGUACACCUGUCCACCAGCCAAACUCAGCCAAAUAUCUAGGAGUAAUUCUGCAUCGGAGACUUACCUUCUUGAAACACGCUGAGAAUGCGUUUACAUGCAGCGGCGUCAAAUCAGUUUUGGCUUAUAAAUUCCAGAAGCAAAUUGUCUUUCUCCAACAAGGUGACAAUUUACAAGCAAAUCAACAUGGAGGUACGGCUGUCAAAUAUGGGACUUAGCUGCAACAGCCAAAUCCGUCGUAUCCAGGCACUCUAGCCGGUAGCACGACAGCUUAUAGAGUCAUAGAAAUAGCCUAGCCAAGGCACUAACCAGAGGUCGCCCGCCCAGAAGGCUCCACAGGAGAUAGCCGAGGGACCUUAUGCUACGGCCCUCCCUGACAAGAGCCAGAAGUGAAGAUGAUGACCACAUAAUUGUUAUGUUGUUUAUAUCAUUGUUAUUUAAUUGUUAAAUCAUUGUUAUUGUUAUAGCUAACCUUGUUAGCGCCUGCAAGGACUGAAUUAAUAGAGACCAAGGUCGCAAAGGAGUUCUCAGCUACCCCGUUUUCCUUAAUAAAAUUAGAAAAAAAAAUAAUAAUAA